GUGGGGAAUUUUGGACAAUGGGCGAAAGCCUGAUCCAGCCAUGCCGCGUGCAGGAUGAAGGCCUUCGGGUUGUAAACUGCUUUUGUACGGAACGAAACGGUCCUGGCUAAUAUCCGGGGCUAAUGACGGUACCGUAAGAAUAAGCACCGGCUAACUACGUGCCAGCAGCCGCGGUAAUACGUAGGGUGCGAGCGUUAAUCGGAAUUACUGGGCGUAAAGCGUGCGCAGGCGGUGCUGUAAGACAGGCGUGAAAUCCCCGGGCUCAACCUGGGAAUUGCGCUUGUGACUGCAGUGCUGGAGUACGGCAGAGGGGGAUGGAAUUCCGCGUGUAGCAGUGAAAUGCGUAGAUAUGCGGAGGAACACCGAUGGCGAAGGCAGUCCCCUGGGCCUGUACUGACGCUCAUGCACGAAAGCGUGGGGAGCAAACAGGAUUAGAUACCCGGGUAGUCC
RNAcentral lists this ribosomal RNA (450 nucleotides) under uncultured bacterium. Its description in RNAcentral is "bacterial SSU rRNA". It matches the Rfam family "Bacterial small subunit ribosomal RNA", at positions 354 to 796 of the family's 1533-position model. The record is from RNAcentral.